RNAcentral lists this ribosomal RNA (157 nucleotides) under Alexandrium margalefii. RNAcentral's name for it is "partial Bacterial large subunit ribosomal RNA". The record is from RNAcentral. Lineage: Eukaryota; Dinophyceae; Gonyaulacales; Pyrocystaceae.
UGGUGAAAUGUUAGGUAGUGUGAAGAUACGGUAACAACGUUAUGGGACAAAAAGACCCUGUGAAGCUUUAUAGGGAUAGAAUUUAGUACGGGUUCAAUAUUGGUAUAUCUUCAUGCUAUGCAUCUUCAUUACAAGGAAAAACAGUGAGAUACCAUUC